GAUGAACGCUGGCGGCAUGCCUAAUACAUGCAAGUCGAACGAGAGGAAGGAAAGCUUGCUUUUCUGAAUCUAGUGGCGAACGGGUGAGUAACACGUAGGUAACCUGCCCAUGUGCCCGGGAUAACUUCUGGAACCGGAUGCUAAAACCGGAUAGGUAGCAGACAAGCAUUUGACUGCUAUUAAAGUGGCUAAGGCCAUGAACAUGGAUGGACCUGCGGUGCAUUAGCUAGUUGGUGAGGUAACGGCCCACCAAGGGGACGAUGCAUAGCCGGCCUGAGAGGGCGGACGGCCACAUUGGGACUGAGACACGGCCCAAACUCCUACGGGAGGCAGCAGUAGGGAAUUUUCGUCAAUGGGGGGAACCCUGAACGAGCAAUGCCGCGUGAGUGAAGAAGGUCUUCGGAUCGUAAAGCUCUGUUGUAAGAGAAAAACGACAUUCAUAGGGAAUGAUGAGUGAGUGAUGGUAUCUUACCAGAAAGUCACGGCUAACUACGUGCCAGCAGCCGCAGUAA
Molecule: ribosomal RNA, 512 nt
Filed under: uncultured bacterium
Lineage: Bacteria
Description: partial 16S ribosomal RNA
Rfam family: Bacterial small subunit ribosomal RNA
Source: RNAcentral